RNAcentral lists this ribosomal RNA (497 nucleotides) under uncultured bacterium. RNAcentral's name for it is "partial 16S ribosomal RNA". It matches the Rfam family "Bacterial small subunit ribosomal RNA", at positions 28 to 507 of the family's 1533-position model. The record is from RNAcentral.
GAUGAACGCUGGCGGCGUGCCUAAUACAUGCAAGUCGAGCGAACGGACGAGAAGCUUGCUUCUCUGAUGUUAGCGGCGGACGGGUGAGUAACACGUGGAUAACCUACCUAUAAGACUGGGAUAACUUCGGGAAACCGGAGCUAAUACCGGAUAAUAUUUUGAACCGCAUGGUUCAAAAGUGAAAGACGGUCUUGCUGUCACUUAUCGAUGGAUCCGCGCUGCAUUAGCUAGUUGUUAAGGUAACGGCUUACCAAGGCAACGAUGCAUAGCCGACCUGAGAGGGUGAUCGGCCACACUGGAACUGAGACACGGUCCAGACGCCUACGGGAGGCAGCAGUAGGGAAUCUUCCGCAAUGGGCGAAAGCCUGACGGAGCAACGCCGCGUGAGUGAUGAAGGUCUUCGGAUCGUAAAACUCUGUUAUUAGGGAAGAACAUAUGUGUAAGUAACUGUGCACAUCUUGACGGUACCUAAUCAGAAAGCCACGGCUAACUACGUG